GAGUUUGAUCCUGGCUCAGAUUGAACGCUGGCGGCAUGCCUUACACAUGCAAGUCGAACGGCAGCACGGGAGCUUGCUCCUGGUGGCGAGUGGCGAACGGGUGAGUAAUGCAUCGGAACGUAUCCUGGAGUGGGGGAUAACGUAGCGAAAGUUACGCUAAUACCGCAUAUUCUGUGAGCAGGAAAGCGGGGGACCUUCGGGCCUCGCGCUCUUGGAGCGGCCGAUGUCGGAUUAGCUAGUUGGUGAGGUAAAGGCUCACCAAGGCGACGAUCCGUAGCAGGUCUGAGAGGAUGAUCUGCCACACUGGAACUGAGACACGGUCCAGACUCCUACGGGAGGCAGCAGUGGGAAUUUUGGACAAUGGGGGCAACCCUGAUCCAGCCAUGCCGCGUGAGUGAAGAAGGCCUCGGUUGUAAGUACGUCUUCGUCGAGGAAGGAAAGUUAGUACGACCGGA
RNAcentral lists this ribosomal RNA (455 nucleotides) under bacterium enrichment culture clone ALO1_GLFRUDD03GORFA. RNAcentral describes it as "bacterial SSU rRNA". It matches the Rfam family "Bacterial small subunit ribosomal RNA", at positions 9 to 477 of the family's 1533-position model. The record is from RNAcentral.